This 539-nucleotide ribosomal RNA is filed under the name uncultured bacterium. RNAcentral describes it as "bacterial SSU rRNA". It matches the Rfam family "Bacterial small subunit ribosomal RNA", at positions 8 to 526 of the family's 1533-position model. The record is from RNAcentral.
AGAGUUUGAUCAUGGCUCAGAACGAACGGUAGCGGCGUGGAUUAGGCAUGCAAGUCGAACGUGAUCCUUGCUUCGGUAAGGUGAAAGUGGCGAAAGGGUGAGUAAUGCAUAGCUAACCUACCCCCGGCACUGGGAUAACCCGGAGAAAUCUGGGCUAAGACCGGAUAGGCUCGCUUGGGCGCAUGCUCGAGCGAGUAAAGGAGGCCUCUCAACGAUGCUUCUGGCUGGGGACGGAACUAUGUCCUAUCAGCUAGUUGGUGGGGUUACGGCCCACCAAGGCGAUGACGGGUAGCCGACCUGAGAGGGUGACCGGCCACACUGGGACUGAGACACUGCCCAGACUCCUACAGGAGGCUGCAGUCGAGAAUCUUCCGCAAUGGGGGCAACCCUGACGGAGCGACGCCGCGUGCGGGAUGAAGGCCUUCGGGUUGUAAACCGCUGUCACACGUUAAGAAGGAGACGGAGUUAAAAGCUCUGGCUCUUGACAAAGGCGUGGGAGGAAGCCACGGCUAACUUCGUGCCAGCAGCCGCGGUAAUUC